UAGGGAAUUUUCGGCAAUGGACGCAAGUCUGACCGAGCAACGCCGUGAGAGUGAAGAAGGUUUUCGGUUCGUAAAACUCUGUUGUUAGAGAAGAACAAGGAUGAGAGUAGAAUGUUCAUCCCUUGACGGUAUCUAACCAGAAAGCCACGGCUAACUACGUGCCAGCAGCCGCGGUAAUACGUAGGUGGCAAGCGUUCUCCGGAUUUAUUUGGCGUGAAGCGAGCGCAGGCGGUUUCUUAAGUCUGAUGUGAAAGCCCCCGGCUCAACCGGGGAGGGUCAUUGGAAACUGGGAAACUUUAGUGCAGAAGAGGAGAGUGGAAUUCCAUGUGUGGCGGUGACAUGCGUGGAUAUAUGGAGGAGCACCAGUGGGGAAGGCGGCUCUCUGGCCUGUAACUGACGCUGAGGCUCGAAAGCGUGGGGAGCAAACAGG
RNAcentral lists this ribosomal RNA (430 nucleotides) under Fusobacteriota bacterium. RNAcentral describes it as "Fusobacteria bacterium partial 16S ribosomal RNA". It matches the Rfam family "Bacterial small subunit ribosomal RNA", at positions 355 to 776 of the family's 1533-position model. Lineage: Bacteria; Fusobacteriati; Fusobacteriota. The record is from RNAcentral.